Pelobates cultripes (western spadefoot toad) is the source of this 627-nucleotide non-coding RNA. NCBI's taxonomy places the organism in Eukaryota, Metazoa, Chordata, Amphibia, Anura, Pelobatidae. The record is from the annotation of a GenBank genome assembly.
AAAGGACAAUAAUUGUUUGUGUAAAAUGCAAUAACAAAUAUGAACACUAACUUUGGCUAGGUUUUGUGGCUACUAAAAAAGACUGGACAUAACCCAUUUUAAAUACUCUGGGUUGUCUACUUGUCUACAAAUUGUAUGCCAUGAUGGAGGUAAUUUUCAUUCAUAGGCUGCCAUAUGGUCUAAAAGGCAACGCUAUGAAAUAUGUACAUGUGGGCAACAUUGGAGCAGAGCAGCUAGCAGCAGAUAUUGCAGCUCCUGCCCUUGACCUGGACCUGGCCAGCCUGGUCCCCACUGGACCCCAGGGAAGCCACUCACACUGCUACAUAUAUACAGAUCUGGAGAAUAAGCCUCACCCUCAUACACAUAAUACAAACAGCCCACACAGCAACACACUAGCACAUGGACAACCCCACUAAAAAUCCACUUGCAUGCACACAACCCCACUCUCACAUGCAAUACCACACACUACCUAACACACAAUGUGACAUAUCAUCCACACACACACAAUUACACAAGCAUCCCCCAUACACAGACCAAAUUAAUAUCAUACACAAUAACACAGACUACUCAUGAAAAUAUACAAUAUUAUAGCCCACAUAUGCACAAAUAACACAAACACAAUGCGGC